UAAUAGGUAAAACUUGAUAUGCCAAGGCUG
This 30-nucleotide non-coding RNA is filed under the name Mus musculus (house mouse). The record is from RNAcentral. Lineage: Eukaryota; Metazoa; Chordata; Mammalia; Rodentia; Muridae.